Molecule: transfer RNA, 76 nt
Filed under: marine sediment metagenome
Description: tRNA-Arg
Rfam family: tRNA
About the family: Transfer RNA (tRNA) molecules are approximately 80 nucleotides in length.
Source: RNAcentral
GCCCUCGUAGCUCAGUGGACAGAGCGGCGGUCCCCUAAACCGCGCGUCGGGAGUUCGAGUCUCUCCGAGGGUCCCA